This 467-nucleotide ribosomal RNA is filed under the name uncultured bacterium. RNAcentral's name for it is "partial 16S ribosomal RNA". It matches the Rfam family "Bacterial small subunit ribosomal RNA", at positions 28 to 507 of the family's 1533-position model. The record is from RNAcentral.
GAUGAACGCUGGCAGAAUGCUUAACACAUGCAAGUCGACUGGAAUUUGGGUUUUUAACUUAGGUUUGGGUGGCGGACGGGUGAGUAACGCGUAAAGAACUUGCCUCACAGCUAGGGACAACAAUUGGAAACGAAUGCUAAUACCUAAUAUUAUGAUAAUAGAGCAUCCUAUAAUUAUGAAGACUAUAAGCGCUGUGAGAGAGCUUUGCGUCCCAUUAGCUAGUUGGGGAGGUAACGGAUCAGACAGGAGAUGAUGGGUAGCCGGCCUGGGAGGGUGAUCGGCCACAAGGGGCUUGGGACACGGCCAGUACGCAUACGGGAGGCAGGAGUGGGGACUAGUGGAAGCUGGACCGAGAGUCUGAUCCAGGACUUCUGUGCGUAAGAUGAAGUUUUUCGGGAUGUAAAGUGCUUUCAGUUGGGAAGAAAAACAUGACGGUACCUACAGAAGAAGUGACGGCUAACUACGUG